GAGCCGGAAGGUGAAAGAUUUAUCGCCUAGAGAUGAGCUCGCGUCUGAUUAGCUAGUUGGUGAGGUAAAAGCUUACCAAGGCGACGAUCAGUAGCUGGUCUGAGAGGAUGAUCAGCCACACUGGGACUGAGACACGGCCCAGACUCCUACGGGAGGCAGCAGUGGGGAAUUUUCCGCAAUGGGCGAAAGCCUGACGGAGCAAGACCGCGUGGGGGAGGAAAGCCUUUGGGUUGUAAACCCCUUUUCUCAGGGAAGAAGAAAGUGACGGUACCUGAGGAAUCAGCCUCGGCUAACUCCGUGCCAGCAGCCGCGGUAAUACGGAGGAGGCAAGCGUUAUCCGGAAUGAUUGGGCGUAAAGCGUUCGUAGGUGGCCCUUCAAGUCUGCUGUCAAAGACGGGAGCUCAACUCCUGAAAGGCAGUGGAAACUGAAGAGCUGGAGUGCGGUAGGGGCAGAGGGAAUUCCCGGUGUAGCGGUGAAAUGCGUAGAGAUCGGGAAGAACACCGGUGGCGAAAGCGCUCUGCUGGGCCGCAACUGACACUGAGGGACGAAAGCUAGGGCAGCGAAUGGGAUUAGA
Molecule: ribosomal RNA, 575 nt
Filed under: Lyngbya aestuarii var. tenuis CNP3007
Lineage: Bacteria; Bacillati; Cyanobacteriota; Cyanophyceae; Oscillatoriales; Microcoleaceae
Description: bacterial SSU rRNA
Rfam family: Bacterial small subunit ribosomal RNA
Source: RNAcentral